UCCCUGGCAGUCUAGUGGUUAAGACUCUGUGCUUCCAAUGCAGGAGUGUGGGUUCGAACCCUGGUUGGGGAA
Molecule: non-coding RNA, 72 nt
Organism: Bos taurus (domestic cattle)
Lineage: Eukaryota; Metazoa; Chordata; Mammalia; Artiodactyla; Bovidae
Source: Rfam